RNAcentral lists this ribosomal RNA (253 nucleotides) under uncultured bacterium. RNAcentral describes it as "partial 16S ribosomal RNA". It matches the Rfam family "Bacterial small subunit ribosomal RNA", at positions 524 to 776 of the family's 1533-position model. The record is from RNAcentral.
UACGUAGGUGGCAAGCGUUGUCCGGAAUUAUUGGGCGUAAAGCGCGCGCAGGCGGUCCUUUAAGUCUGAUGUGAAAGCCCACGGCUCAACCGUGGAGGGUCAUUGGAAACUGGGGGACUUGAGUACAGAAGAGAAGAGUGGAAUUCCACGUGUAGCGGUGAAAUGCGUAGAUAUCUGGAGGAACACCGGUGGCGAAGGCGGCAUUCUGGACUGCAACUGACACUGAUGAACGAAAGCCAGGGGAGCAAACGGG